RNAcentral lists this ribosomal RNA (253 nucleotides) under uncultured bacterium. RNAcentral describes it as "partial 16S ribosomal RNA". It matches the Rfam family "Bacterial small subunit ribosomal RNA", at positions 524 to 776 of the family's 1533-position model. The record is from RNAcentral.
UACGUAGGGUGCAAGCGUUGUCCGGAAUUAUUGGGCGUAAAGAGCUCGUAGGCGGUUUGUUACGUCGGAUGUGAAAACCCGAGGCUUAACCUCGGGCCUGCAUUCGAUACGGGCAGACUCGAGUGUGGUAGGGGAGACUGGAACUCCUGGUGUAGCGGUGAAAUGCGCAGAUAUCAGGAAGAACACCGGUGGCGAAGGCGGGUCUCUGGGCCACUACUGACGCUGAGGAGCGAAAGCGUGGGGAGCGAACAGG